Molecule: ribosomal RNA, 405 nt
Filed under: uncultured bacterium
Lineage: Bacteria
Description: partial 16S ribosomal RNA
Rfam family: Bacterial small subunit ribosomal RNA
Source: RNAcentral
AUUGAACGCUGGCGGCAGGCCUAACACACGCAAGUCGAACGAGUGGCGGACGGGUGAGUACUGUCUGGGAAACUGCCUGAUGGAGGGGGAUAACUACUGGAAACGGUAGCUAAUACCGCAUACCAUCGGAUGUGCCCAGAUGGGAUUAGCUAGUAGGUGGGGUAAAUGCUCACCUAGGCGAAGAUCCCUAGCUGGUCUGAGAGGAUGACCAGCCACGCUGGGACUGAGACACGGUCCAGACUACGACGUGAGGCAGCAGUGGGGAAUAUAGCACAAUGGGCGCAAGCCUGAUGCAGCCAUGCCGAAUGUAUGAAGAAGGCCUGCGGGUUGUAAAGUACAUUCAGCGGGGAGGCGUUACCCGCAGAAGAAGCACCGGCUAACUCCGUGCGAGCCGCCGCGGUAAUA